Molecule: ribosomal RNA, 468 nt
Filed under: uncultured bacterium
Lineage: Bacteria
Description: partial 16S ribosomal RNA
Rfam family: Bacterial small subunit ribosomal RNA
Source: RNAcentral
GACGAACGCUGGCGGCGUGCUUAACACAUGCAAGUCGAACGGAAAGGCCCUGCUUUUGCGGGGUGCUCGAGUGGCGAACGGGAGUGUAACAUGGGAGAAACCCGCCCUGGACUUUGGGAUAACUUGAGGAAACUGGGGCUAAUACCGGAUAGGAGCGCCUGCUGGAUGGUGGGGGUUGGAAAGCUUAGGCGGUUGGGGAUGGACUCGCGGCUUAUCAGCUUGUUGGUGGGGUAGUGGCUCACCAAGGCUUUGACGGGUAGCCGGCCUGAGAGGGUGACCGGCCACAUUGGGACUAGGAUACGACCCAGACUCGUACGGGGGACAGCAGUGGGGAAUAUUGCACAAUGGGCGGGAGCCUGAGACAGCAGCGCCGCGUGCGGGAUGACGGCCUUCGGGUUGUAAACCGCUUUCGCCUGUGACGAAGCGUGAAUGACGGUAAUGGGUAAAGAAGCACCGGCUAACUACGUG